ACAGGAGUUAAAUUUGAUACAUGUUCAAGAAGCAUGUUUAGGAAAAGAUCCAACUCUGUUUUCAUCCCAUG
Small nucleolar RNA from Panthera pardus (leopard), 71 nucleotides. The record is from Ensembl. NCBI's taxonomy places the organism in Eukaryota, Metazoa, Chordata, Mammalia, Carnivora, Felidae.